Molecule: long non-coding RNA, 320 nt
Filed under: Salvia miltiorrhiza (redroot sage)
Lineage: Eukaryota; Viridiplantae; Streptophyta; Magnoliopsida; Lamiales; Lamiaceae
Description: long non-coding RNA (SMIL_LNC010762)
Source: RNAcentral
GGUUUAGGUUUGAUUAGUGGUAAAUUGACACAUCAGGGUCAAGGGAAAAGCAGUCUUAAUUCAAUAAUCCUGCGUCAGAGUUUAUUGGUUUUGAAUCGGGUUUCUCUAGAUAUUAAUGCUAUCGGCUCAUUAAAUCUAUAGAGCGUCUCUUACGGUUGUCAGUCGAUUAGGGUAGUAAUUAGUGAAGCGUCUUCCUGGUUACCGAAUAAUUAAGGAGAAAUAAGAUCACGUCAGAAGCGUCUUCGGUGAUUAUAACUGGUUUGUUUGCAUGAUUUAAAGUUAUUUUUGCAUCGAUGAUCGGAAUAAUUGAGCUAGGGUGG